Molecule: long non-coding RNA, 1310 nt
Organism: Nomascus leucogenys (northern white-cheeked gibbon)
Lineage: Eukaryota; Metazoa; Chordata; Mammalia; Primates; Hylobatidae
Exons: 6
Source: RefSeq, a predicted model, not a curated record
GUCACGGCAUAAUCUCUUAUAAAUAAAUGUCAGUGUAGUCACUGAAUGCAGACUGGAUUUUUGCCUGACUACGGUGCUCAGCCUUCUAGACAAUAGUUAUGCUAAGGGAUUAUCUUUUAGCAUUGUGCAGUUAUCUCCUUUGUUUGUUUUCUCUUUUCAUUAUUCACAUAAGCCAAGGGAAAUGAAAAGCAUCUUAUUUCAAGCAAAAAGGCCUGUGAAUGAUUAACUCUGGUUCCAUGCAUUGGGACUUUGCAUAGCAACCCCUUGGCUUGCAACGACAAAAAAGCUCAAGGCAGGAACCGCAGCCCAGGGACCUGAGACCAACGUUCUCAAAUGAAGGCAGAUCUGCUGUUAGAGGAGAAUUCUUCUGUCCUAGCUGUGUCUCUGUGAUCUGUGGAUGAGGAUGGGAAAGGACCAGUCAAUCAAUCGGGGUGUACAAAAUGGAGUUUGAGAAGGUCUCACAUCCAGGUCGUUUUGAAGCAAAGUCCAAGCAUUGUAUCACUUCAUCUGCAAAUAUUUCAAUAAGUACCCAAAAGUGGUUGGACUGAGUCCCAUGAAGCCAGAUCACUUCUGACUGCAAGGAGCUUGGGAAAGCAAGUAUCUGGAUCUUUUACCAGCUAAAUUUGGAGCGAUGAGGCUUCCUCUUUGAAGAUCACAGGUGAGAAGAUUAGGUGCUUUCGCAGAAGCCCAACAACCUGAUGGGAGUGUGGAGUGAGCCAGACCCAAAUCAGAGCUUCAUCCCUGCAUGGCUUAUUUGGCAAACUUGCCCUGCAGAAUCUACUCAAGCUUCCUCAGUUUCUCAGAUCAUUCUUGGGCAACAAACGAACAAGAAAGAGGAUGUCUUAUUAUCUGGUGUCUGGCUAGCUGAUUUAAUAACCUAGAAGACAGUGUUUGAAGAACACAAACUCUAAAGUCCUUCACUUUAAAAAAAAAAAAAAAAAACUUUCCCGAAUUGCUUACCAUUUGGGAAAAAUUGCCUUACCUUCUUCAGUCAUCUCUGAUGUUGUCACCCUCAGAGUAAGAAGUACGCAUUCAUAAGGAACCAUAACGUCCUUCAGGAAAUCCACUACACCCUACAAUUUUACCUAAAUUUUGAUGUUGUUUUUUUCUGUCCAUUUUACCCUCUAGGGAAAUGGAUCUCAUGCUGUUUAUCAGUUUCUGAAAGUUGUUAUUAAUCUCCCCUCAUCCCCAAAUUGAAGAACUUUGCUUAAAUCUUAGAAUCAGAACUUUGGCUCCAGUAAUAAAGACUUUUCAAUAUCUUUGUCUCCCAUUGAGUCUUACCUAACGAAAUAGAGCCUCCACAGUGGGAA